Molecule: long non-coding RNA, 747 nt
Organism: Homo sapiens (human)
Lineage: Eukaryota; Metazoa; Chordata; Mammalia; Primates; Hominidae
Exons: 3
Source: RefSeq, a predicted model, not a curated record
AUACUCUCCUGGCCUCAGAGUUGUAAGGAUGGAAACAAACACUUCUGUUUCUGAACCAGAGUGGGUUCUCAGAGUCUUGGCUUUCUUUCUGCAGCCUGUCUGCCUCCUAAGCAGCUGAGAUUGUUUCCCCACUACAGAUGAGUGAUAAGCUGACUGCACCCUCACGGAUAAUUCUAUCAACUCCUGGGACCAUCGCAUAGAGGGUGCUUGAGACAUGCUGCACUGGACGAUGCACACACCCCAUCUCUCCAACAUGACUAGGCCACCAGGAUGCAUCACAGUCCUGACCCCAAUGCAGGAGACUGAAAGUCACCAAGGACUGAGACAUGCUGUCGAGCCACAAUCAGAAGAGAAACUGGAGUUGAAGAAGAGCCAGGUCUGGCCACACAGAGAAGUGAAAACCUCCAUUUAAUGGUCAGAGGCAAAGUACAAAGUUAGGCAUCAGAGAAGUGUUCCGUUUUGGUCACUAUUAUUUCUUAAGAAUCUUUCUGAACACUCCAGAACUAAAGGACUAGAAGUCCAGGGCCCUUGCUCUCAGUGUCUGAUUAGCUGCUGUCAUCUGCCUCGAAAGCUGCCCCAUGGUUUUUUCCAUCCUUGCUAGCAGCACAAACCAACUGGUUUAGCCUAACAUUGAUAAAACUACAGAAUCUCAGAUUUGGAAGGAUGCUUUUAAAGCAAAUAGCCAAGCUCCUAGCUAAUUUUCUAAUUUUGUUGCUACAAGAAUAAAGAAUUUAAUGUGGGUGUGGA